RNAcentral lists this long non-coding RNA (336 nucleotides) under Elaeis guineensis (African oil palm). RNAcentral's name for it is "long non-coding RNA (EGUI_LNC010317)". The record is from RNAcentral. Lineage: Eukaryota; Viridiplantae; Streptophyta; Magnoliopsida; Arecales; Arecaceae.
CCGCGCCCUCUGGCACCUUCUCUCCUCCUUACCUCUAGAUCUUUGAUCCUCUUCUCCUCAUUUUCUCCCUAUUCACUCUCCCUUUGGUGCUCUUGGCUUGAUCUUGCUUCCAUCCUUGGCUGGAUCUCUAAUCCUCUGAGCAAGGCUUUUGCUCCUUCCAAUUGAUCAGUUCCUUUGCGCCCCUAUUGGGCCUCUCUUUGUUGCCUUGAGUUCACCCUCCUCUAUGCUGAACUUGCUUGAAGGCCGAGUUUAAUUGUGGGACCUUUCUCCCUAAGCGAGUCAACUCGAUAGCAGGUAGGCCCAAAAGCUCUUAUGCUCAAGUCUCGAAGUACUGCA